Molecule: unclassified non-coding RNA, 268 nt
Filed under: fungal sp.
Lineage: Eukaryota; Fungi
Description: partial internal transcribed spacer region
Rfam family: Eukaryotic small subunit ribosomal RNA (bases 1-46)
Source: RNAcentral
AAGUCGUAACAAGGUUUCCGUAGGUGAACCUGCGGAAGGAUCAUUACUAAAUAUCCAAAAUUAUUGGUAUCAAACCCAAUAUAUGCUCUUGUGAACUUUAUCGUCUCUGACAAUGCGUUUCUUUGAAUGUUAAAAAUUCAAGGAGACAAGUUGUUGGUUAUUCCUUCUUUUAUUUGUAUUUUUUUUUCUUUUUUUUUGUCGUUAUAGUAAUCCAUGACAUAUGGACAUAAUCUAUUAACAACUUUUGACAACGGAUCUCUUGGUUCUC